GAUGAACGCUGGCGGCGUGCCUAAUACAUGCAAGUCGAACGAGGUGCUUUUGUAGCAAUACGAGAGUAUCCUAGUGGCGAACGGGUGAGUAACGCGUUGGUGACCUACCCCAAAGUGUGGGAUAACAGUCCGAAAGGAUUGCUAAUACCGCAUGUGGUCUUCGGAUUUAGAAACUGAUGACUAAAGGAGCAAUUCGCUUUGGGAGGGACCUGCGUCCCAUCAGCUAGUUGGUGAGGUAAUGGCUCACCAAGGCUACGACGGGUAGGGGACCUGAGAGGGUGACCCCCCCACAAUGGAACUGAAACACGGUCCAUACACCUACGGGUGGCAGCAGUAGGGAAUAUUGCACAAUGGGCGAAAGCCUGAUGCAGCAACGCCGCGUGUGCGAUGAAGGCCUUCGGGUCGUAAAGCACUUUCUGGGAGAUGAGCAAGGACAGUAUCUCAGGAAUAAGUCUCGGCUAACUACGUGCCAGCAGCCGCGGUAAU
Molecule: ribosomal RNA, 486 nt
Filed under: uncultured bacterium
Lineage: Bacteria
Description: bacterial SSU rRNA
Rfam family: Bacterial small subunit ribosomal RNA
Source: RNAcentral